RNAcentral lists this ribosomal RNA (541 nucleotides) under uncultured bacterium. RNAcentral describes it as "partial 16S ribosomal RNA". The record is from RNAcentral.
UUUCGCCGCGAAUUCGCCCUUACGGUUACCUUGUUACGACUUCACCCCAGUUACCGGGCCUGCCUUCGACAGCUCCUCCCUUGCGGUUAGGCCACUGGCUUCGGGCAUUCCUGGCUCCCAUGGUGUGACGGGCGGUGUGUACAAGACCCGGGAACGUAUUCACCGCAGCAUUCUGAUCUGCGAUUACUAGCGAUUCCAGCUUCAUACAGCCGGGUUGCAGGCUGUAAUCCGAACUGGGACGCCUUUUUUGUGCUUUGCUCCCCCUCGCAGGUUCGCCUCACUCUGUUGGCGCCAUUGUAGCACGUGUGUAGCCCAGCCCAUAAGGGGCAUGAUGAUUUGACGUCGUCCCCGCCUUCCUCCGGGUUAUCCCCGGCAGUCCUUAACAGAGUGCCCAGCCUUGCUGCUGGCUACUGUAAGCAGGGGUUGCGCUCGUUGCGGGACUUAACCCAACAUCUCACGACACGAGCUGACGACAACCAUGCACCACCUGUCUCUGCUGUCCCGUAAGAAAGCCCGCAUUACCGGGCUGCCAGCAAGAUGU